ACGAACGCUGGCGGCGUGCCUAACACAUGCAAGUCGAACGAGAGAGUCCUUCGGGAUGAUCUAGUGGCGCACGGGUGAGUAAUAGAUAGGAACGUACCGAUUGGUGGGGAAUAACUCAGAGAAAUUUGAGCUAAUACCGCAUGUGAUCGUGAGAUCAAAGAGGGCCUAUGCUUGCAAGCUCUCGCCAAUUGAGCGGCCUAUCUCCCAUUAGCUAGUUGGUAGGGUAAAGGCCUACCAAGGCUACGAUGGGUAGCUGGUCUGAGAGGACGAUCAGCCACACUGGAACUGAGACACGGUCCAGACUCCUACGGGAGGCAGCAGUGGGGAAUAUUGCACAAUGGGGGAAACCCUGAUGCAGCAACGCCGCGUGAGUGAAGAAGGCCCUUGGGUCGUAAAGCUCUUUCGGCUGGGAAGAAGGGUCAUGAGGCUAAUAUCCUGAAGAUCUGACGGUACCAGAAGAAGAAGCACUGGCUAAUUCCGU
Molecule: ribosomal RNA, 481 nt
Filed under: uncultured bacterium
Lineage: Bacteria
Description: bacterial SSU rRNA
Rfam family: Bacterial small subunit ribosomal RNA
Source: RNAcentral